Non-coding RNA from Acanthosepion pharaonis, 112 nucleotides. NCBI's taxonomy places the organism in Eukaryota, Metazoa, Mollusca, Cephalopoda, Sepiida, Sepiidae. The record is from the annotation of a GenBank genome assembly.
ACGUCUACAUCACGUUGAAACACUGGUUCCCAUAGGAUAACCGAAGUUAAGCAACGUCGAGCAUUGUCAGUACUUCGGUGGGUGAGCUCUUAGGAAUACCAGAUGUUGUAAG